RNAcentral lists this small RNA (81 nucleotides) under Marmota monax (woodchuck). Lineage: Eukaryota; Metazoa; Chordata; Mammalia; Rodentia; Sciuridae. The record is from RNAcentral.
GCUGGGUAUGAUGUCACAUGCCUGUAAUCCCAGGCUCAGGAGGCUGAGGUAGGAGGAUUACAAGUUCAAAGCCAGCCUCCU